This 465-nucleotide ribosomal RNA is filed under the name uncultured bacterium. Its description in RNAcentral is "partial 16S ribosomal RNA". It matches the Rfam family "Bacterial small subunit ribosomal RNA", at positions 338 to 795 of the family's 1533-position model. The record is from RNAcentral.
CCUACGGGAGGCAGCAGUAGGGAAUCUUCCACAAUGGGCGAAAGCCUGAUGGAGCAACGCCGCGUGGGUGAAGAAGGUCUUCGGAUCGUACAACCCUGUUGUUAGAGAAGAAAGUGCGUGAGAGUAACUGUUCACGUUUCGACGGUAUCUACCCAGAAAGCCACGGCUAACUCCGUGCCAGCAGCCGCGGUAAUACGUAGGUGGCAAGCGUUAUCCGGAUUUAUUGGGCGUAAGGGGAACGCAGGCGGUCUUUUAAGUCUGAUGUGAAAGCCUUCGGCUUAACCGGAGCAGUGCAUUGGAAACUGGGAGGCUUGAGUGCAGAAGAGGGGAGUGGAACUCCAUGUGUAGCGGUGAAAUGCGUAGAUAUAUGGAAGAACACCAGUGGCGAAGGCGGCUCUCUGGUCUGUAACUGACGCUGAGGUUCGAAAGCGUGGGUAGCAAACAGGAUUAGAUACCCUUGUAGUC